UACGAACUGUGCAAGCGUUAUUCGGAAUCACUGGGCUUGAAGAGUGCGUAGGCGGUUUUGUAAGUAGGGUGUGAAAGCCCCCGGCCCAACCGGGGAAUUGCGCCCUAAACUGCAAGGCUGGAGUGAGGUAGGGGUGUGUGGAACUUCUAGUGGAGCGGUGAAAUGUGUUGAUAUUAGAAGGAACGCCGGUGGCGAAAGCGACACACUGGACCUUGUCUGACGCUGAGGCACGAAAGCCAGGGGAGCAAACGGG
RNAcentral lists this ribosomal RNA (253 nucleotides) under uncultured bacterium. RNAcentral's name for it is "partial 16S ribosomal RNA". It matches the Rfam family "Bacterial small subunit ribosomal RNA", at positions 524 to 776 of the family's 1533-position model. The record is from RNAcentral.